UCUGUUUUCUUUUCUUUAAAAUGUGGUGU
This 29-nucleotide non-coding RNA is filed under the name Rattus norvegicus (Norway rat). The record is from RNAcentral. Lineage: Eukaryota; Metazoa; Chordata; Mammalia; Rodentia; Muridae.